This is a long non-coding RNA of Acinonyx jubatus (cheetah), 1178 nucleotides long. RefSeq lists it as uncharacterized. Lineage: Eukaryota; Metazoa; Chordata; Mammalia; Carnivora; Felidae. The transcript has 4 exons. The record is from RefSeq and is a predicted model, not a curated record.
AGCUGGGCUUGGGGACGGCCCAGACCCCACCCCAGUGCUUGGGGGCAAGAGGAGGCUAGUGACUCAGCAGGGGGGAAUUAUUCAGUUAACCAAGGAGCCCUUGGUCCUCCAUCGAGGGGCCUGCGCGGGCUGCGGAGGUGGCGGGCCUCCUACGUGCGUGGGAGGUAAUCCUUAGGUAUUUGGUAACUAACGCCGGGGAGGCGGGGACGAGAGGGCCAGCUCGGCGCAGGGUCAGCGGAGGAUGUGGUCAAAGGGGAGCCGGCCACCCCCACCUCCAGAAACUAAGAAGCCAGGGGCCUGCAGUUUCCAUCUUGUCACAGACCUUCACUGACCCCUGACUGCCUACAGGACAAAGCCCCAGCUGCUAGGGCUGGCUCGGAAGCCUGCCACCAGCCGGUCCCUCCCCACCACGGCCUUCUCACGAAACUUAACCGGAGGAAAAAAAUGCUUGGGGCGCCUGGGUGGUUCCGUCAGUGGACAUAUCGGUUCAUUUUAAUCACUCACUAACGGAGUCAAGGCCAACGGGAGGGAAUGCGACACCCAACAGGUGGGUUUGCCGUGCGCGGUGGGGAAGGCAGCUGUGUGAGUCUGCUCAGAUGCCAUGAAGGAUGCGGGCAAAGGCGCAUCUGUGACGUCCCCAGGGACAACUUCCUGAGUAUCUGCUGAGCUGCCCGCCCCUCAGGCCACAGCAUUUGCUGAGCACCUGCCCAGGAAGGCCCGGAAGAGGGGAGGAAGCAGGCGAGAGCUCGGUGUUAAAGCAGAGAGUGAGGAGGCAAUAAAGGAGAAAGAAAAGGUCUUCCUUUUCCGAGGGCCUGGCGCACCCCUCCUCCAGAGCGUCCUGCCACGGCCCCCCCGCACUGGAGCCCAGACACAGCCCCUCGUCUCCAUGAAUCCCCCACGGCUGUCAAACACCAGCUCCCUCCGCCCACAGCUGUCUCUGAGUCCCAGCAGACCGUCCUAGAUCUCCGGGGCCUUCCCUUGCCUCGUCCAGACCCACACGUCCAUCCGGGGACCAGCUCAGUCCUGCUCCCAGAGAAUCGGUCAGCAUAGGAGCCCCGAGGAUGAGGAUCCAGCCUCUUGCCCUGGACUCCUCUGGACCUUCUACUGCACAGAUAUCCAGCCGAACCUGUCCGUCCUCCCUCCAGGCCAGCCUGGCUUUGCACAGAACCCCCCCCCCC